Molecule: ribosomal RNA, 429 nt
Filed under: uncultured bacterium
Lineage: Bacteria
Description: bacterial SSU rRNA
Rfam family: Bacterial small subunit ribosomal RNA
Source: RNAcentral
GGUGAAAUGCGUAGAUAUAUGGAGGAACACCAGUGGCGAAGGCGACUUUCUGGCCUGAAACUGACGCUGAGGCGCGGAAGCGUGGGGAGCAAACAGGAUUAGAUACCCUGGUAGUCCACGCCGUAAACGAUGAGUGCUAGGUGUUAGGGGUUUCGAUGCCCUUAGUGCCGCAGUUAACACAUUAAGCACUCCGCCUGGGGAGUACGGCCGCAAGGCUGAAACUCAAAGGAAUUGACGGGGGCCCGCACAAGCAGUGGAGCAUGUGGUUUAAUUCGAAGCAACGCGAAGAACCUUACCAGGGCUUGACAUCCCGCUGACCGGUAUAGAGAUAUGCCAUUACCUUCGGGUACAGCGGAGACAGGUGGUGCAUGGUUGUCGUCAGCUCGUGUCGUGAGAUGUUGGGUUAAGUCCCGCAACGAGCGCAACCCU